Molecule: ribosomal RNA, 632 nt
Filed under: unidentified microorganism
Description: bacterial SSU rRNA
Rfam family: Bacterial small subunit ribosomal RNA
Source: RNAcentral
UACACAUGCAGUCGAACGGUAACAGGCCGCAAGGUGCUGACGAGUGGCGAACGGGUGAGUAAUGCAUCGGAACGUGCCCAGUCGUGGGGGAUAACGCAGCGAAAGCUGUGCUAAUACCGCAUACGAUCUAUGGAUGAAAGCGGGGGACCGUAAGGCCUCGCGCGAUUGGAGCGGCCGAUGUCAGAUUAGGUAGUUGGUGGGGUAAAGGCCCACCAAGCCAACGAUCUGUAGCUGGUCUGAGAGGACGACCAGCCACACUGGAACUGAGACACGGUCCAGACUCCUACGGGAGGCAGCAGUGGGGAAUUUUGGACAAUGGGCGCAAGCCUGAUCCAGCAAUGCCGCGUGCAGGAAGAAGGCCUUCGGGUUGUAAACUGCUUUUGUACGGAACGAAACGGUCUGGGUUAAUACCCUGGGCUAAUGACGGUACCGUAAGAAUAAGCACCGGCUAACUACGUGCCAGCAGCCGCGGUAAUACGUAGGGUGCAAGCGUUAAUCGGAAUUACUGGGCGUAAAGCGUGCGCAGGCGGUUUUGUAAGACAGUCGUGAAAUCCCCGGGCUCAACCUGGGAAUUGCGAUUGUGACUGCAAAGCUGGAGUGCGGCAGAGGGGGAUGGAAUUCCGCGUGUAGCA